Molecule: ribosomal RNA, 497 nt
Filed under: uncultured bacterium
Lineage: Bacteria
Description: partial 16S ribosomal RNA
Rfam family: Bacterial small subunit ribosomal RNA
Source: RNAcentral
GAUGAACGCUGGCGGCGUGCCUAAUACAUGCAAGUCGAGCGGACGGACGAGAAGCUUGCUUCUCUGAUGUUAGCGGCGGACGGGUGAGUAACACGUGGAUAACCUACCUAUAAGACUGGGAUAACUUCGGGAAACCGUAGAUAAUACCGGAUAAUAUUUUGAACCGCAUGGUUCAAAAGUGAAAGACGGUCAUGCUGUCACUUAUAGAUGGAUCCGCGCUGCAUUAGCUAGUUGGUAAGGUAACGGCUUACCAAGGCAACGAUGCAUAGCCGACCUGAGAGGGUGAUCGGCCACACUGGAACUGAGACACGGUCCAGACUCCUACGGGAGGCAGCAGUAGGGAAUCUUCCGCAAUGGGCGAAAGCCUGACGGAGCAACGCCGCGUGUGUGAUGAAGGUCUUCGGAUCGUAAAGCUCUGUUAUUAGGGAAGAACAUAUGUGUAAGUAACUGUGCACAUCUUGACGGUACCUAAUCAGAAAGCCCCGGCUAACUACGUG